Sus scrofa (pig) is the source of this 693-nucleotide long non-coding RNA. RefSeq lists it as uncharacterized. Lineage: Eukaryota; Metazoa; Chordata; Mammalia; Artiodactyla; Suidae. The record is from RefSeq and is a predicted model, not a curated record.
AACUGAUGUCACAUUGAGUGUCCGCUCCGUGCCUGGCGGCGGCGGCGGCGGCGGCGUUACACAACUCGCGGGACGCCCCGGGGCGCCAUUCUCACAGAAUCCCAAGCGAAGUUACUCCUGAGGGUGAAACGUGCUUCGGUCCUGUCCCAGCCUGCUAGGGACCCACAAGCCAAUGGAGAGAGGGCACUCCUGAGCUGGACGGUGGAAGAGGGCACGUGGUCCAGGCAUGAAUUCAGAUGAUUUCAACCCCACCGUGUUGAGAAACUGCACAGGAACUUCCAUAUGCCGAGGGUGUGGCUGUGAAAAUAAAUAAAGAAAAAAAGAGUCAUUCUGCACAACACUGAGAUUCAACAGAUGAGCAGGACAUGCAAGAAAACGAGGAAUGGAUCAGUCAAAAGCCAUGCUUGAGGGUUGUCAGCCCAGCCCAGGAGUUGCGAUGGGGGUGCUAGUCAACCCCUAGUACCAUGAAAGAUGAUACAUGUCAUUGUUUUGUGUCACUACAUAAUAGAUAACUGGGACAAUCUUCUUUCCCUGAUCUGCUUUCUUCUCAUAUCUCCUGUCUUAAUUAAUGCUUUUAUCCUCAAUCUGGAAUGUCCACACAGCUGCCAGCAGCUGGAACCAAGCAGGUGACCAUCAGAUCAGAGACUCAGAACCUUAUACAGACCAAACCCUGAGGUUUGUGAAAGCACAAAG